RNAcentral lists this ribosomal RNA (380 nucleotides) under uncultured bacterium. Its description in RNAcentral is "bacterial SSU rRNA". It matches the Rfam family "Bacterial small subunit ribosomal RNA", at positions 28 to 402 of the family's 1533-position model. The record is from RNAcentral.
GACGAACGCUGGCGGCGUGCUUAACACAUGCAAGUGGAGCGACGAACCGGGGCUUGCCCCGGGGCAGAGCCGCGAACGGGUGAGUAACACGUGGGUAACCUGCCUCAAUGAUUGGGACAACCCGGGGAAACUCGGGCUAAUACCAAAUGUGUUCACUCCUUCUAAGGGGAGUGAGGAAAGGAAGCUUCGGCCUCCGCAUUGAGAUGGGCCCGCGGCCCAUUAGCUUGUUGGUGAGGUAACGGCUCACCAAGGCUUCGAUGGGUAGCUGGUCUGAGAGGACGAUCAGCCACACUGGGGCUGAGACACGGCCCAGACUCCUACGGGAGGCAGCAGUGGGAAUCUUGCACAAUGCGCGAAAGCGUGAUGCAGCAACGCCGCGU